Prunus persica (peach) is the source of this 780-nucleotide long non-coding RNA. RefSeq lists it as uncharacterized. Lineage: Eukaryota; Viridiplantae; Streptophyta; Magnoliopsida; Rosales; Rosaceae. The transcript has 2 exons. The record is from RefSeq and is a predicted model, not a curated record.
UUUCCCCCAACAAUAUAUUGUUUCAAAACUCUUUCCUUUUUCUCAAAACCCUAGACUCUCUCUGAAGUUUUGCAGCCGCCGCACAACGCCCUCCCAUCCAGAGCUGGCCCUUGGGGAGGGCAACUGGGGCCUGGGCCCGGGGCCCAUAAUUGAAAGGGGCACCAAAAAAAUAAAGUUAAGCCAUAUAUUAUAUACGUAUAGAACAAAACAAAUAAAAUAAAUAAAUAAAAAAUCAAGCGUGCAUUUUUGUUUAAUCCUCCCUUCCCAAAAGCGCGUGCUCACCCAUAUAUGCUAGCAAAUAUAUUAUUUUUUAAUCCUAUUCCAAAAAAAAACAAAACAAAACAAAACAAACCAGACCACAUUAGGGUUUAGAUUCUUGUUGUCUCAAUUUUCUUAUAUAUGUACCUAUCAUCCCUCACUCACAGUCACACCGCGGCCUCUCUCCUCUCCAUUGCCUAUCUCUUUCGUCUUUCCUAUCAUUUCCCCUCCAUGACAGAAGAGACGAAGCCAACAGAGCUAUUCAAGAUCGCCAAUUGAGAACUUAUUCAUUGAGAAUUGAGAUGGGUUUCAGGUGCAGACCCAGAUAAACAACAAAGAUGAUUUUUCUUGAGUCUUAAUCAGUUUUGCAGGGAGAACGUGAGUUUUGUAAUGGAUUACUUGGUUUAAACAUGAAAAUUUAUCUGAAGAUUUACCAAAUGAAUUGUUCAUAUUCAUUUGGAAGAAUAAGCAGAAAAUGAAAAUGAAUUGAAAGUUUAUGAUGCAAAAAUGGCAGAUUUACUU